CAGUUCACCUAAGACCAUAGUUACUGAAUUUCUAUGCGAAUCAAGAUCGAGAAAAGGAAGUUUUCCAAUCAUUGACUCAAACCCAUUGUCGAACCCCACUCAGCGGAAUAGGGAGGUACUUAUGGCAGAACGGGCCAAUCUGGUCUUUCACAAUAAAGUGAUAGAUGGAACUGCUAUUAAACGACUUAUUAGGAGAUUAAUAGAUCACUUCGGAAUGGCAUAUACAUCACACAUCCUGGAUCAAGUAAAGACUCUGGGGUUCCGACAAGCCACUGCUACAUCCAUUUCAUUAGGAAUUGAUGAUCUUUUAACAAUACCUUCUAAGGGGUGGCUAGUCCAAGAUGCUGAACAACAAAGUUUUAUUUUGGAAAAACACCAUCAUUAUGGGAAUGUACACGCGGUAGAAAAAUUACGCCAAUCUAUUGAGAUAUGGUAUGCUACAAGUGAAUAUUUGCGACAAGAAAUGAAUCCUAAUUUUAGGAUGACCGACCCUUUUAAUCCAGUCCAUAUGAUGUCCUUUUCGGGAGCUAGAGGAAAUGCAUCCCAAGUACACCAAUUAGUAGGUAUGAGAGGAUUAAUGUCGGAUCCACAAGGACAAAUGAUUGAUUUACCUAUUCAAAGCAAUUUACGUGAAGGACUGUCUUUAACAGAAUAUAUCAUUUCUUGUUAUGGAGCCCGAAAGGGAGUUGUGGAUACUGCUGUACGAACAUCGGAUGCUGGAUAUCUUACACGCAGACUUGUUGAAGUAGUUCAACACAUUGUUGUACGUAGAACAGAUUGUGGCACCAUCCGAGGCAUUUCUGUGAGUCCUCGAAAUGGGAUGAUGCCGGAAAGAAUUUUUAUACAAACAUUGAUUGGCCGUGUAUUAGCAUACGAUAUAUAUAUAUAUAUAGGCCCACGAUGCAUUGCCGUUAGAAAUCAAGAUAUUGGUAUUGGACUUGUCAAUCGAUUCAUAACCCUUCAAACACAACCAAUAUCUAUACGAACCCCCUUUACUUGUAAGAGUACAUCUUGGAUCUGCCGAUUAUGUUAUGGCAGGAGCCCCACUCAUGGCGACCUGGUCGAAUUGGGAGAAGCUGUGGGUAUUAUUGCGGGUCAAUCUAUUGGAGAACCGGGCACUCAACUAACAUUAAGAACUUUUCAUACCGGUGGAGUAUUCACAGGGGGUACUGCAGAACAUGUACGAGCCCCUUCUAAUGGAAAAAUAAAAUUCAACGAGGAUUUGGUUCAUCCCACCCGUACACGUCAUGGGCAUCCUGCUUUUCUAUGUUAUAUAGACUUGUAUGUAACUAUUGAGAGUGAAAAUAUUAUACAUAACGUGACUAUUCCACCCAAAAGUUUGAUUUUAGUUCAAAAUGAUCAAUACGUAGAAUCAGAACAAGUGAUUGCUGAGAUUCGCGCGGGAGCAUACACUUUAAAUUUUAAAGAGAGGGUUCGAAAACAUAUUUAUUCUGACUCAGAGGGAGAAAUGCACUGGAGUACUGAUGUAUACCAUGCGCCGGAAUUUACAUAUAGUAAUGUACAUCUUUUACCAAAAACAAGUCAUUUGUGGAUAUUAUCAGGAGGUUCGUGCAGAUCCAGUGCAGUCCCUUUUUCACUCCACAAGGAUCAAGAUCAAACGAACGUUCAUUCUCUUUCUGCUGAAGGAAGAUAUAUUUAUAGCCUUUCAGUAAAUAAUGAUCAAGUGAAACACAAAAGUUUGAAUCUUUCUGGUAAAAAAGAAAGUACAAGUCCUGAUUAUUCAGAAUUAAAUAGAAUCAUAUAUACGGGUCAUUGUAAUCUCAUAUUUCCUGCUAUUCUCCAUGAUAAUUCUGAUUUUUUUUUAUUGACAAAGAGGCGAAGAAAUAGAUUCAUCAUUCCAUUCCAAUCGAUUCAAGAACGAGAGAAAGAACUAAUGCCCCGUCCCAGUAUUUCGAUUGAAAUACCCAUAAAUGGUAUUUUUCGUAGAAAUAGUAUUCUUGCUUAUUUCGAUGAUCCUCAAUACAGAAGAAAGAGUUCGGGAAUUACUAAAUAUGGAACUGUAGGGUUGCAUUCAACCCUCAAAAAAGAGGAUUUAAUUGAGUAUCGAGGAGUUAAAGAAUUUAAGCCAAAAUACCAAAUGAAAGUAGAUCGAUUUUUUUUCAUUCCCGAGGAAGUGCAUAUUUUACCCGAGUCUUCUUCCAUAAUGGUACGGAACAAUAGUAUCAUUGGGAGAGAUACACGAAUCACUUUAAAUACAAGAAGCCGAGUAGGCGGAUUGGUUCGAAUGGAGAGAAAAAAAAAAAGGUUCGAAUGGAGAGAUGGAUAAGAUAUUUCGACACAGCGGCAUCUUGAUACCACCGGGAACGGUAAAAAAAAAUUCCAGUGAAUCAAAAAAAUUGAAAAAUUGGAUUUAUGUCCAAUGGAUCACACCCACCAAGAAAAAGUAAUUUGUUUUGGUUCGACCCAUAAUCAUAUAUGAAAUAACGGACGGUAUAAAUUUAGCAACAUUUUUCCCCUAGGAUCCAUUGCGGGAAAGGGAUAAUCUAGAACUUAGAGUUGUAAAUUAUAUAUUUUACGGAAAUGGCAAACCAAUUCGGGGAAUUUCUGGCACAAGUAUUCAAUUAGUUCGGACCUGUUUAAUGUUGAACUGGGACUAAGACAAAAAAAAAUUCUUCUAUUGAAGAGGCCCAUGCUUCCUUUGUUGAAGUAAUCAAAAAGUNGUCUGAUUCAAUAUUUCCUAAGAAUCAACUUAGUGAAAUCCCAUACUUCGUAUAUCCGAAAAAGGAAUGAUUCGUUAGGUUCGGGA
Molecule: RNA transcript, 2767 nt
Organism: Prunus dulcis (almond)
Lineage: Eukaryota; Viridiplantae; Streptophyta; Magnoliopsida; Rosales; Rosaceae
Gene name: DNA-directed RNA polymerase subunit beta''-like
Exons: 1
Source: RefSeq, a predicted model, not a curated record